Molecule: non-coding RNA, 455 nt
Organism: Paralichthys olivaceus (Japanese flounder)
Lineage: Eukaryota; Metazoa; Chordata; Actinopteri; Pleuronectiformes; Paralichthyidae
Source: RefSeq, a predicted model, not a curated record
CUCGAGGCAGGACAAAGACACGUUUCCAGGAACAGUGUGACCGAGCAGAUGUUUCUGCUCUGGGAGGAGGAGAAGAAAGAGGAGGAGAAGAAAGAGGAGGAGAAGAAGACGAGUGGGUGUUUGUGCUGCAGAAGAAGAAGCUUCCUCUCUGACGGCUCCUCCCCCUCAGAUAUGGCUGAAGAUGUCUGAGAACUCUUGUCUUUUGUUGACGUCACGUGACUUCAGGACGUCGUGCGUCUUCCAAUCAGCUGAUGACAGCGUCCUGGAGAUGCUGAGUUACUCUAAGUUCUCCGACCUGGAGACAUGGCUGUGCACGCCGUCUUCGCUGCUGUUGCCCCGGGCGCUGGACUCAGCAUUCACCUCGUCCUCUUCCUCCGCCUCUUCUUCCUCACAUGCAUCCAACCACUCCUCCUCCUCGCCGGCCUCCAACUCCCGUCGCUCCACCGUCAGCGAGC